CGGGCUAACGCCGGGCGUGAAGCGGGGGUUAGACGGAGGGUCCGAGUGUUAAUCGGAAUGACUGGGCGUAAAGCGUGCGCAGGCGUGUUGUUAAGCGAGAGGUGAAAGCCCUGGGCGCAACCUAGGAAUAGCAUUUCGAACUGGCGAACUAGAGUCUUGUAGAGGGGGGUAGAAUUCCAGGUGUAGCGGUGAAAUGCGUAGAGAUCUGGAGGAAUACCGGUGGCGAAGGCGGCCCCCUGGACAAAGACUGACGCUCAUGCACGAAAGCGUGGGGAGCAAACAGGAUUAGAUACCCUGAGUC
RNAcentral lists this ribosomal RNA (301 nucleotides) under uncultured Rhodothermus sp. RNAcentral's name for it is "bacterial SSU rRNA". It matches the Rfam family "Bacterial small subunit ribosomal RNA", at positions 493 to 795 of the family's 1533-position model. The record is from RNAcentral. Lineage: Bacteria; Pseudomonadati; Rhodothermota; Rhodothermia; Rhodothermales; Rhodothermaceae.